AGCUCCAAUAGCGUAUAUUUAAGUUGUUGCAGUUAAAAAGCUCGUAGUUGGAUUUCGGAUGGGUUUCGGCGGUCCGCCUCUGGUGAGUACUGUUGAAGCCUAUCUUUCUGUCGGGGACGGGCUCCUGGUGUUCACUCACUGGGACUCGGAGUCGACGAGGUUACUUUGAGAAAAAUAGAGUGUUCAAAGCAAGCCUACGCUCUGAAUAUGUUAGCAUGGAAUAACACGAUAGGACUCUGGCCUAUCUUGUUGGUCUGUAGGACCGGAGUAAUGAUUAAGAGGGACAGUCGGGGGCAUUCGUAUUUCAUUGUCAGAGGUGAAAUUCUUGGAUUUAUGAAAGACGAACUUCUGCGAAAGCAUUUGCCAAGGAUGUUUUCA
RNAcentral lists this ribosomal RNA (378 nucleotides) under uncultured eukaryote. Its description in RNAcentral is "SSU rRNA". It matches the Rfam family "Eukaryotic small subunit ribosomal RNA", at positions 587 to 972 of the family's 1831-position model. The record is from RNAcentral.